RNAcentral lists this ribosomal RNA (364 nucleotides) under uncultured bacterium. Its description in RNAcentral is "partial 16S ribosomal RNA". It matches the Rfam family "Bacterial small subunit ribosomal RNA", at positions 338 to 699 of the family's 1533-position model. The record is from RNAcentral.
CCUACGGGUGGCAGCAGUGAGGAAUAUUGGUCAAUGGCCGGAAGGCUGAACCAGCCAUGCCGCGUGAAGGACAGAGGCCUACGGGCGGUAAACUUCUUUUGUCCGGGAGCAAGAAUGGGCACGUGUGGCCAGACGAGAGUACCGUACGAAUAAGCAGCGGCUAACUCCGAGCCAGCAGCCGCGGGAACACGGGGGAUGCAAGUGUUAUCCGGAGUUAUUGGGUUUUAAGGGUGCGUAGGCUGGGAGGUAAGUCAGAGGUGGAAGGCCCCCGCUCAACGGGGUGAAGUGCCAUUGAUACUGCCUUGCUGGAGUGCGGAUGCCGUGGGAGGAAUGUGUGGUGUAGCGGUGAAAUGCGUAGAUAUCA